Molecule: unclassified non-coding RNA, 240 nt
Filed under: soil metagenome
Description: partial contains 5.8S ribosomal RNA, internal transcribed spacer 2, and large subunit ribosomal RNA
Source: RNAcentral
AACGCACGAGACCUGCGGACCUGCGGAGGGAUCAUUACUGAGUGAGGGCCCUCUGGGUCCAACCUCCCACCCGUGUUUAACGAACCUUGUUGCUUCGGCGGGCCCGCCUCACGGCCGCCGGGGGGCAUCCGCCCCCGGGCCCGCGCCCGCCGAAGCCACCUGUGAACGCUGUCUGAAGUUGCAGUCUGAGAAAAUUAUUAAAUUAAUUAAAACUUUCAACAACGGAUCUCUAGAUCGGAA